RNAcentral lists this ribosomal RNA (465 nucleotides) under Vreelandella stevensii. RNAcentral's name for it is "partial 16S ribosomal RNA". It matches the Rfam family "Bacterial small subunit ribosomal RNA", at positions 338 to 795 of the family's 1533-position model. Lineage: Bacteria; Pseudomonadati; Pseudomonadota; Gammaproteobacteria; Oceanospirillales; Halomonadaceae. The record is from RNAcentral.
CCUACGGGUGGCAGCAGUGGGGAGUAUUGGACAAUGGGGGGAACCCUGAUCCAGCCAUGCCGCGUGUGUGAAGAAGGCCCUCGGGUUGUAAAGCACUUUCAGUGAGGAAGAACGCCUGGUGGUUAAUACCCAUCAGGAAAGACAUCACUCACAGAAGAAGCACCGGCUAACUCCGUGCCAGCAGCCGCGGUAAUACGGAGGGUGCGAGCGUUAAUCGGAAUUACUGGGCGUAAAGCGCGCGUAGGUGGCUUGAUAAGCCGGUUGUGAAAGCCCCGGGCUCAACCUGGGAACGGCAUCCGGAACUGUCAAGCUAGAGUGCAGGAGAGGAAGGUAGAAUUCCCGGUGUAGCGGUGAAAUGCGUAGAGAUCGGGAGGAAUACCAGUGGCGAAGGCGGCCUUCUGGACUGACACUGACACUGAGGUGCGAAAGCGUGGGUAGCAAACAGGAUUAGAUACCCUUGUAGUC